Triticum aestivum (bread wheat) is the source of this 135-nucleotide non-coding RNA. The record is from Rfam. Lineage: Eukaryota; Viridiplantae; Streptophyta; Magnoliopsida; Poales; Poaceae.
CAAAUACUCCCUCCGUCCGGAAAUACUUGUCAUCAAAAUGGAUAAAAGGAAAUGUAUCUAGACAUAUUUUAGUUUUAGAUACAUCUAUUUUUAUCCAUUUUGAUGACAAGUAUUUUCGGACGGAGGGAGUAGAAA